GACGAACGCUGGCGGCGUGCUUAACACAUGCAAGUCGAACGGAAAGGCCCUGCUUUUGUGGGGUGCUCGAGUGGCGAACGGGUGAGUAACACGUGAGUAACCUGCCCUUGACUUUGGGAUAACUUCAGGAAACUGGGGCUAAUACCGGAUAGGAGCUCCUGCUGCAUGGUGGGGGUUGGAAAGUUUCGGCGGUUGGGGAUGGACUCGCGGCUUAUCAGCUUGUUGGUGGGGUAGUGGCUUACCAAGGCUUUGACGGGUAGCCGGCCUGAGAGGGUGACCGGCCACAAUGGGACUGGGAGUCCGGCCAGACUUCUUCGGGGGGCAACAGGUGGGAAUAUUGCACAAUGGGCGGAAGCCUGAUGCAGCAACGCCGGGGGCGGGGUGACCGCCUUCCGGUUGGAAACCGCUUUCGCCUUUGACGAAGCCUGAGUGACGGUAAUGGGUUAAGGAGCACCCGCUUACCUCGUU
RNAcentral lists this ribosomal RNA (468 nucleotides) under uncultured bacterium. RNAcentral's name for it is "partial 16S ribosomal RNA". It matches the Rfam family "Bacterial small subunit ribosomal RNA", at positions 28 to 507 of the family's 1533-position model. The record is from RNAcentral.